Non-coding RNA from Chelonoidis abingdonii (Abingdon island giant tortoise), 96 nucleotides. Lineage: Eukaryota; Metazoa; Chordata; Testudines; Testudinidae. The record is from RefSeq and is a predicted model, not a curated record.
AAGCUGAUCUCGUUUGCCUGGACACACAGCCCCUGCCUAGGUGCUCAGCAUCAUGGGACUGCUUGCCCAAAUGAUCACUUAUGGUUGGACUUGGGU